Molecule: ribosomal RNA, 262 nt
Filed under: uncultured Rhodocista sp.
Lineage: Bacteria; Pseudomonadati; Pseudomonadota; Alphaproteobacteria; Rhodospirillales; Azospirillaceae
Description: partial 16S ribosomal RNA
Rfam family: Bacterial small subunit ribosomal RNA
Source: RNAcentral
CCCUUCGGGGUACACGAGAGGCGGACGGCUGAGUAACGCGUGGGAACGCACCCUACACUGAGGGAUAAGAUACCGAAAGGUGUUCUAAUACCGCAUACGGUCUUCUGAUUAAAGUCUUCGGACGGUGAAGGAGCGGCCCGCGUCAUAUUAGGUAGUUGGUGGGGUAAUGGCCUACCAAGCCGAUGAUGUGUAGCUGGUCUGAGAGGAUGAUCAGCCAGACUGGAACUGAGAACGGUCCAGACUCCUACGGGAGGCAGCAGUG